GGAUGGUGUAUAGCGUAUACUAGAAAAGCAGAAAAUUUGAGUUCUAGUUCCAAAGUUGGGUGCUUCCCUGAAUUGAUACAGUUGUCAACCUAACAUGCAUCGGCACUUAAGGAAUGAUAGCGUGGAAGCUCCGAGCCACAAGAAAACUUUCCAUGAUGGUCUUGCAUACAAAAUUUUAUUUUGAUGUACUUAUUUAGACCGUUUAUGCCCCC
This 212-nucleotide long non-coding RNA is filed under the name Elaeis guineensis (African oil palm). Its description in RNAcentral is "long non-coding RNA (EGUI_LNC003243)". The record is from RNAcentral. Lineage: Eukaryota; Viridiplantae; Streptophyta; Magnoliopsida; Arecales; Arecaceae.